CAGUAGCCACGGGAAUACGAAGGGUGCAAGCGUUACUCGGAAUUACUGGGCGUAAAGCGUGCGUAGGUGGUGGUUUAAGUCCGUCGUGAAAGCCCUGGGCUCAACCUGGGAAUUGCAGUGGAUACUGGGUCACUAGAGUGUGGUAGAGGAUAGUGGAAUUUCCGGUGUAGCAGUGAAAUGCGUAGAGAUCGGAAGGAACAUCUGUGGCGAAGGCGACUAUCUGGGCCAACACUGACACUGAGGCACGAAAGCGUGGGGAGCAAACAGGAUUAGAUACCCCGGUAGUCCCUGUCUCUUAUAU
RNAcentral lists this ribosomal RNA (301 nucleotides) under uncultured bacterium. RNAcentral's name for it is "partial 16S ribosomal RNA". It matches the Rfam family "Bacterial small subunit ribosomal RNA", at positions 509 to 809 of the family's 1533-position model. The record is from RNAcentral.